GUGGCUGACCGGUUACGGUGUUCGCUUUGUAAGCGAAUGGUUCUGGGUUCGAUUCCCAUC
Molecule: transfer RNA, 60 nt
Organism: Culex pipiens (northern house mosquito)
Lineage: Eukaryota; Metazoa; Arthropoda; Insecta; Diptera; Culicidae
Rfam family: tRNA
About the family: Transfer RNA (tRNA) molecules are approximately 80 nucleotides in length. Their secondary structure includes four short double-helical elements and three loops (D, anti-codon, and T loops). Further hydrogen bonds mediate the characteristic L-shaped molecular structure. tRNAs have two regions of fundamental functional importance: the anti-codon, which is responsible for specific mRNA codon recognition, and the 3' end, to which the tRNAs corresponding amino acid is attached (by aminoacyl-tRNA synthetases). tRNAs cope with the degeneracy of the genetic code in two manners: having more than one tRNA (with a specific anti-codon) for a particular amino acid; and 'wobble' base-pairing, i.e. permitting non-standard base-pairing at the 3rd anti-codon position.
Source: Rfam